GGCUGAAAUUCGCCUUCACGAAGUCGGAAUUGCUAGUAAUGGCAGGUCAGCAUACUGCCGUGAAUACGUUCCCGGGCCUUGUACACACCGCCCGUCACACCAUGAGAGUUAGGAAUACCCGAAGCCUGUGAGCCAACUUUCUAAGAGGCAGCAGUCGAAGGUAGAACUAAUGAUUGGGGUGAAGUCGUAACAAGGUACC
This 199-nucleotide ribosomal RNA is filed under the name uncultured bacterium. RNAcentral describes it as "partial 16S ribosomal RNA". It matches the Rfam family "Bacterial small subunit ribosomal RNA", at positions 1303 to 1500 of the family's 1533-position model. The record is from RNAcentral.